AGUGAACGCUGGCGGUAGGCCUAACACAUACAAGUCGAACGGCAGCACAGUAAGAGCUUGCUCUUACGGGUGGCGAGUGGCGGACGGGUGAGGAAUACAUCGGAAUCUACUUUUUCGUGGGGGAUAACGUAGGGAAACUUACGCUAAUACCGCAUACGACCUACGGGUGAAAGCAGGGGAUCUUCGGACCUUGCGCGAUUGAAUGAGCCGAUGUCGGAUUAGCUAGUUGGCGGGGUAAAGGCCCACCAAGGCGACGAUCCGUAGCUGGUCUGAGAGGAUGAUCAGCCACACUGGAACUGAGACACGGUCCAGACUCCUACGGGAGGCAGCAGUGGGGAAUAUUGGGCAAUGGGCGCAAGCCUGAUCCAGCCAUACCGCGUGGGUGAAGAAGGCCUUCGGGUUGUAAAGCCCUUUUGUUGGGAAAGAAAAGCAGCAGGUUAAUACCCCGCUGUUCUGACGGUACCCAAAGAAUAAGCACCGGCUAACUUCGUG
This 492-nucleotide ribosomal RNA is filed under the name uncultured bacterium. Its description in RNAcentral is "partial 16S ribosomal RNA". It matches the Rfam family "Bacterial small subunit ribosomal RNA", at positions 29 to 507 of the family's 1533-position model. The record is from RNAcentral.